UGCAGUUCGAGCGAAUCCUGAGGGAGCUUGCUCCCAAAGAUUAGCGGCGGACGGGUGAGUAACACGUGGGCAACAAGCACAUAGUAAGACUGGGAUAACUUCGGGAAACAGGAGCUAAUACCGGAUAAUCCUUUUCUAACUCAAGGAGAAAAGCGGAAAGAUGGCUUCAGCUAUAACUAUUACGAAGAGCCCCCCGCCCCAUUACUUAAUUUGUGGGAGAGUUACCGCUCCACCAGGGGGCAACAAUCCUAACCCAACGUGGAAAGGUUGAACGGGCCCACCGGGAACGGAAACCCGCCCAAAACCCCUACCGGAAGGCACCAGUAAGGAAUCCUCCGCAAUGGAAGAAAGUCCGAAGGAACAACGCCCCCGGGAGUGGAUGAAGGGUUUCCGAACCUAAAACUCUGUUGGUAAGGAAGAACAAGUACCGGUCCAAUAAGGGCGGUACCUUGACCGGUACCUAACCAGAAAGCCACGGCCAACUACCUGGCCAGCAGCCCCGGGAAUACCUAAGUGGCAAGCGUUGUCCGGAAUUAAUGGGCGUAAAGCGCGCGCAAGUGGGUUCCUAAGUCUGAAGUGAAAACCCCCGGGCUCAACCGGGAAGGGUCAUUGGAAACUGGGAGAAUUGAGUGCAGAAAAAGAAAGUGGAAUUCCAAGUGUAGCGGUGAAAUGCGUAGAGAUUUGGAAGAACACCAGUGGCGAAGGCGACUUUCUGGUCUGUAACUGACACUGAGGCGCGAAAGCGUGGGGAGCGAACAGGAUUAGAUACCCUGGUAGUCCACGCCGUAAACGAUGAGUGCUAAGUGUUAAAGGGUUUCCGCCCUUUAGUGCUGCAGCAAACGCAUUAAGCACUCCGCCUGGGGAGUACGGCCGCAAGGCUGAAACUCAAAGGAAUUGACGGGGGCCCGCACAACCGGUGGAGCAUGUGGUUUAAUUCAAAGCAACGCGAAGAACCUUACCAGGUCUUGACAUCCUCUGACAAUCCUAGAGAUAGGACGUUCCCCUUCCGGGGACAGAAUGACAGGUGGUGCAUGGUUGUCGUCACCUCCAGUCGGGGAAAUGGUGGGUUAAGUCCCCCAACCAACGCCAACCCUUGAUCUUAAUUGCCACCAUUCACUUUGGGCACUCUAAAGUGAACUGCCCGGUGACAAACCCAAGGAAGGUGGGGAUGACGUCAAAUCAUCAUGCCCCUUAUGACCUGGGCUACACACGUGCUACAAUGGAUGGUACAAAGGGCUGCAAGACCGCGAGGUUUAGCCAAUCCCAUAAAACCAUUCUCAGUUCGGAUUGCAGGCUGCAACUCGCCUGCAUGAAGCCGGAAUCGCUAGUAAUCGCGGAUCAGCAUGCCGCGGUGAAUACGUUCCCGGGCCUUGUACACACCGCCCGUCACACCACGAGAGUUUGUAACACCCGGAAAGUCGGUGGGGAAACCGCAAGGAGCCAGCCGC
This 1448-nucleotide ribosomal RNA is filed under the name Bacillus sp. (in: firmicutes). RNAcentral describes it as "bacterial SSU rRNA". It matches the Rfam family "Bacterial small subunit ribosomal RNA". The record is from RNAcentral. Lineage: Bacteria; Bacillati; Bacillota; Bacilli; Caryophanales; Bacillaceae.